Molecule: ribosomal RNA, 224 nt
Filed under: uncultured bacterium
Lineage: Bacteria
Description: partial 16S ribosomal RNA
Rfam family: Bacterial small subunit ribosomal RNA
Source: RNAcentral
GCAAGUCGAACGAAGUUCUUUCGGGAACUUAGUGGCGGACGGGUGAGUAACACGUGAGAACCUACCUUCAGGACGGGGACAACAGUUGGAAACGACUGCUAAUACCCGAUGUGCCGAGAGGUGAAAGGAUUUAUUGCCUGAAGAUGGGCUCGCGUCUGAUUAGCUAGUUGGGAGUGUAAGAGCUUACCAAGGCGACGAUCAGUAUCUGGUUUGAGAGGACGAUC